This 345-nucleotide ribosomal RNA is filed under the name uncultured bacterium. RNAcentral describes it as "partial 16S ribosomal RNA". It matches the Rfam family "Bacterial small subunit ribosomal RNA", at positions 338 to 680 of the family's 1533-position model. The record is from RNAcentral.
CCUACGGGAGGCAGCAGUGAGGAAUAUUGGUCAAUGGACGCAAGUCUGAACCAGCCAUGCCGCGUGCAGGAAGACGGCUCUAUGAGUUGUAAACUGCUUUUGUACGAGGGGAAACGCAGAUACGCGUAUCGGUCUGAAAGUAUCGUACGAAUAAGGAUCGGCUAACUCCGUGCCAGCAGCCGCGGUAAUACGGAGGAUUCAAGCGUUAUCCGGAUUUAUUGGGUUUCCAGGGUGCGUAGGCGGUCGGAUAAGUUAGCGGUGCAAUCCCGAGGCUCAACUUCGGAAUUGCCUCUGAUACUGUUCGGCUAGAGCGUAGUUGCGGUAGGCGGCAUGUAUGGUGUAGCG